AUUGAACGCUGGCGGCAGGCUUAACACAUGCAAGUCGAGCGGUAGCACAGGGGAGCUUGCUCCCUGGGUGACGAGCGGCGGACGGGUGAGUAAUGUCUGGGAAACUGCCUGAUGGAGGGGGAUAACUACUGGAAACGGUAGCUAAUACCGCAUAACGUCGCAAGCCCAAAGAGGGGGACAUUCGGGCCUCUUGCCAUCAGAUGUGCCCAGAUGGGAUUAGCUAGUAGGUGGGGUAAUGGCUCACCUAGGCGACGAUCCCUAGCUGGUCUGAGAGGAUGACCAGCCACACUGGAACUGAGACACGGUCCAGACUCCUACGGGAGGCAGCAGUGGGGAAUAUUGCACAAUGGGCGCAAGCCUGAUGCAGCCAUGCCGCGUGUGUGAAGAAGGCCUUCGGGUUGUAAAGCACUUUCAGCGAGGAGGAAGGUGGUGAGCUUAAUACGUUCAUCAAUUGACGGUACUCGCAGAAGAAGCACCGGCUAACUCCGUG
This 490-nucleotide ribosomal RNA is filed under the name uncultured bacterium. RNAcentral describes it as "partial 16S ribosomal RNA". It matches the Rfam family "Bacterial small subunit ribosomal RNA", at positions 30 to 507 of the family's 1533-position model. The record is from RNAcentral.